RNAcentral lists this ribosomal RNA (470 nucleotides) under Microsporidia sp. Its description in RNAcentral is "bacterial SSU rRNA". It matches the Rfam family "Microsporidia small subunit ribosomal RNA", at positions 200 to 696 of the family's 1311-position model. The record is from RNAcentral. Lineage: Eukaryota; Fungi; Microsporidia.
CUACCAAGACAGUGACGGUUGACGGGGAAUUAGGGUUCUAUACCGGAGAGGGAGCCUGAGAGAUAGCUCCCACGUCCAAGGACGGCAGCAGGCGCGGAAAUUGCCCACUGUUUGGAGGAGGCAGUUAUGAGACGUGAGAAAGAGUGCUUGGUAAAGAGAAGCAGGAGAAUUGGAGGGCAAGUUUGGUGCCAGCAGCCGCGGUAAUACCGACUCCAAGAGUGUGUAUGAGAGAUGCUGCAGUUAAAAAGUCCGUAGUCGUGGAGUCAGAAACAGAGGCGGAGCCUCUUGCAGAUGCUCUGGAGAAGCCAACAGGGAGGACAGUAUACCAGGGCGAGAGAUGAAAUGCCAAGACCCCUGGUGGACUAAGCGAGGCGAAAGCGGUUCUCUUGUGGGUAUUCAGUGAUCAAGGACGAAGGCUGGAGUAUCGAAAGUGAUUAGAUACCGCUGUAGUUCCAGCAGUAAAAGAUGCC